Molecule: non-coding RNA, 853 nt
Organism: Odocoileus virginianus texanus
Lineage: Eukaryota; Metazoa; Chordata; Mammalia; Artiodactyla; Cervidae
Source: RefSeq, a predicted model, not a curated record
CCCGAUCCCCGACCCUCGGGCCGGGUCUCGGCCGCGUAGGGCUGCGCCCCAACAGGUAUUUCAGGGUUUCUCCCCUCUCCCCGCCCCAGCGAGGCGCAGAGCCUUUUCCUCCUCUUUGGGCGGUUUCCAGCUGCCUCCCCAGGGUGAAGAAACGCAAACAAUGAUUUGAGAGAAUUACAAUCGCUCUUUUAAAAGUGAGGAAUCCAAAAUGCAGGGCACUGCCGGCUCUUAGGAGAGAGAAGUUACAGGAGGAAAAGGAGUCCAUCUGAAGAGGGGAGCGCGAGGGAGCCUUUGAGGCAGUUAAAGAAGCUGAAGGCCAUAGAUGCAGAGCCGACUUUCUGCCUCUGCCUUUGACCUCGUUAAGCCUUCUGCAGGGGCGAGACGGUCUCUUCCGCGGCACGCUGUCCUCUGGUGGCCGGGGGAUGUUACUGCAGCUCCAAAGGGAUUACUAUCUACGCUCCAACAGGUAACCUCUAAAAACGGACUGCCUAUAGACCUGCUGUCUUCAGAACAGUUACCGAAGAGAGAGUUGGAGAGGAUCUGCAUCUCCAGUCUGCUUAGUUGGAGGAGUUGAGAUUCGGAAGAAGGAAGGAAAAGAGAGAGAAUCCUUGUCCUAGACUAGAUCCUGGAUCUAUUGGAUGAAAAGAUGGAUCCUGCCUGGAUGAAAGACCUCUUUACAUGCUGCAGCUCCAGUCACCUUAUUCUGACACAACUUGAAACCUCUCUCUCUCCUCUUUCUUCAUUGACACAAUUAAAUUGGAGCACCUUCCAUAUGUGUGCUAUUAUGGGAGUCUCCCACUGUAUAUCAUCUAAUUAGGGAAACAACACAAAUUAAAACCAAUUAAAAACCGAA